AGACCCGAAACCCGGUGAUCUAGCCAUGGGCAGGUUGAAGGUUGGGUAACACUAACUGGAGGACCGAACCGACUAAUGUUGAAAAAUUAGCGGAUGACCUGUGGCUGGGGGUGAAAGGCCAAUCAAACCGGGAGAUAGCUGGUUCUCCCCGAAAGCUAUUUAGGUAGCGCCUCGUGAAUUCAUCUCCGGGGGUAGAGCACUGUUUCGGCUAGGGGGCCAUCCCGGCUUACCAACCCGAUGCAAACUGCGAAUACCGGAGAAUGUUAUCACGGGAGACACACGGCGGGUGCUAACGUCCGUCGUGAAGAGGGAAACAACCCAGACCGCCAGCUAAGGUCCCAAAGUCAUGGUUAAGUGGGAAACGAUGUGGGAAGGCCCAGACAGCCAGGAUGUUGGCUUAGAAGCAGCCAUCAUUUAAAGAAAGCGUAAUAGCUCACUGGUCGAGUCGGCCUGCGCGGAAGAUGUAACGGGGCUAAACCAUGCACCGAAGCUGCGGCAGCGACACUAUGUGUUGUUGGGUAGGGGAGCGUUCUGUAAGCCUGCGAAGGUGGCCUGUGAGGGUUGCUGGAGGUAUCAGAAGUGCGAAUGCUGACAUAAGUAACGAUAAAGCGGGUGAAAAGCCCGCUCGCCGGAAGACCAAGGGUUCCUGUCCAACGUUAAUCGGGGCAGGGUGAGUCGACCCCUAAGGCGAGGCCGAAAGGCGUAGUCGAUGGGAAACGGGUUAAUAUUCCCGUACUUGGUGUUACUGCGAAGGGGGGACGGAGAAGGCUAUGUUGGCCGGGCGACGGUUGUCCCGGUUUAAGCGUGUAGGUGUGUGUUCCAGGUAAAUCCGGUUCACUUUAACACUGAGGCGUGACGACGAGGCACUACGGUGCUGAAGCAACAAAUGCCCUGCUUCCAGGAAAAGCCUCUAAGCAUCAGGUAACAUCAAAUCGUACCCCAAACCGACACAGGUGGUCAGGUAGAGAAUACCAAGGCGCUUGAGAGAACUCGGGUGAAGGAACUAGGCAAAAUGGUGCCGUAACUUCGGGAGAAGGCACGCUGACACGUAGGUGAAGUGAUUUACUCACGGAGCUGAAGUCAGUCGAAGAUACCAGCUGGCUGCAACUGUUUAUUAAAAACACAGCACUGUGCAAACACGAAAGUGGACGUAUACGGUGUGACGCCUGCCCGGUGCCGGAAGGUUAAUUGAUGGGGUCAGCGCAAGCGAAGCUCCUGAUCGAAGCCCCGGUAAACGGCGGCCGUAACUAUAACGGUCCUAAGGUAGCGAAAUUCCUUGUCGGGUAAGUUCCGACCUGCACGAAUGGCGUAAUGAUGGCCAGGCUGUCUCCACCCGAGACUCAGUGAAAUUGAACUCGCUGUGAAGAUGCAGUGUACCCGCGGCAAGACGGAAAGACCCCGUGAACCUUUACUAUAGCUUGACACUGAACAUUGAGCCUUGAUGUGUAGGAUAGGUGGGAGGCUUUGAAGUGUGGACGCCAGUCUGCAUGGAGCCGACCUUGAAAUACCACCCUUUAAUGUUUGAUGUUCUAACGUGGACCCGUUACCCGGGUUGCGGACAGUGUCUGGUGGGUAGUUUGACUGGGGCGGUCUCCUCCUAAAGAGUAACGGAGGAGCACGAAGGUUGGCUAAUCCUGGUCGGACAUCAGGAGGUUAGUGCAAUGGCAUAAGCCAGCUUGACUGCGAGCGUGACGGCGCGAGCAGGUGCGAAAGCAGGUCAUAGUGAUCCGGUGGUUCUGAAUGGAAGGGCCAUCGCUCAACGGAUAAAAGGUACUCCGGGGAUAACAGGCUGAUACCGCCCAAGAGUUCAUAUCGACGGCGGUGUUUGGCACCUCGAUGUCGGCUCAUCACAUCCUGGGGCUGAAGUAGGUCCCAAGGGUAUGGCUGUUCGCCAUUUAAAGUGGUACGCGAGCUGGGUUUAGAACGUCGUGAGACAGUUCGGUCCCUAUCUGCCGUGGGCGCUGGAGAACUGAGGGGGGCUGCUCCUAGUACGAGAGGACCGGAGUGGACGCAUCACUGGUGUUCGGGUUGUCAUGCCAAUGGCACUGCCCGGUAGCUAAAUGCGGAAGAGAUAAGUGCUGAAAGCAUCUAAGCACGAAACUUGCCCCGAGAUGAGUUCUCCCUGAGACUACGAGUCUCCUGAAGGAACGUUGAAGACGACGACGUUGAUAGGCCGGGUGUGUAAGCGCAGCGAUGCGUUGAGCUAACCGGUACUAAUGAACCGUGAGGCUUAACCUUACA
Molecule: ribosomal RNA, 2241 nt
Filed under: Salmonella enterica subsp. enterica serovar Ndolo
Lineage: Bacteria; Pseudomonadati; Pseudomonadota; Gammaproteobacteria; Enterobacterales; Enterobacteriaceae
Description: partial 23S ribosomal RNA
Rfam family: Bacterial large subunit ribosomal RNA
Source: RNAcentral